RNAcentral lists this ribosomal RNA (460 nucleotides) under uncultured bacterium. Its description in RNAcentral is "partial 16S ribosomal RNA". It matches the Rfam family "Bacterial small subunit ribosomal RNA", at positions 338 to 795 of the family's 1533-position model. The record is from RNAcentral.
CCUACGGGUGGCAGCAGUGAGGAAUAUUGCUCAAUGGGCGCGAGCCUGAUGCAGCCAAGCAGCGUGAAGGAUGACGGCCCUACGGGUUGUAAACUCUUUUUAUAAAGGAGUAAAGUGAGGCACGUGUGCCUUUUCGUACGUACUUUAUGAAUACGGAUAGGCUAAGUCCGUGAUAGCAGCCGCGCUAAUACGGAGGAUCCGAGCGUUACCGGGAUUUUGUGGGUUUAAAGGGAGCGGAGAUGGGUUGUUAAGUCAGUUGGGAAAGUUUGGGGCUCAACCGUAAAAUUGCAUUUGAUACUGGCAGUCUUGAGUACAGUUGAGGUAGGCGGAAUUCGUGGUGUAGCGGUGAAAUGCGUAGAUAUCACGAAGAACACCGAUGGCGAAGGCAGCUUACUAAACUGACACUGACAUUGAUGCUCGAAAGUGUGGGUAUCAAACAGGAUUAGAUACCCUUGUAGUC